Molecule: ribosomal RNA, 253 nt
Filed under: uncultured bacterium
Lineage: Bacteria
Description: partial 16S ribosomal RNA
Rfam family: Bacterial small subunit ribosomal RNA
Source: RNAcentral
UACGUAGGGUGCAAGCGUUGUCCGGAAUUAUUGGGCGUAAAGAGCUCGUAGGCGGUUCGUCGCGUCGGCUGUGAAAGCCCGAGGCUUAACCUCGGGUCUGCAUUCGAUACGGGCUAGCUAGAGUGUGGUAGGGGAGAUCGGAAUUCCUGGUGUAGCGGUGAAAUGCGCAGAUAUCAGGAGGAACACCGGUGGCGAAGGCGGAUCUCUGGGCCAUUACUGACGCUGAGGAGCGAAAGCGUGGGGAGCGAACAGG